RNAcentral lists this ribosomal RNA (301 nucleotides) under uncultured bacterium. Its description in RNAcentral is "partial 16S ribosomal RNA". It matches the Rfam family "Bacterial small subunit ribosomal RNA", at positions 509 to 807 of the family's 1533-position model. The record is from RNAcentral.
CAGCAGCCACGGUAAGACAGAGGAUGCAAGCGUUAUCCGGAAUGAUUGGGCGUAAAGAGCUCGUAGGCGGUCUGUCGCGUCUGGUGUGAAAUCCCGAGGCUCAACCUCGGGCUUGCAUCGGGUACGGGCAGACUAGAGUGCGGUAGGGGAGACUGGAAUUCCUGGUGUAGCGGUGGAAUGCGCAGAUAUCAGGAGGAACACCGAUGGCGAAGGCAGGUCUCUGGGCCGCAACUGACGCUGAGGAGCGAAAGCAUGGGGAGCGAACAGGAUUAGAUACCCCAGUAGUCCCUGUCUCUUAUAC